CCGCCCCCUUCCCUGUGGCUCGGGCUCUGUCCUGCCCGCCCCGUCCUGCCGGCGCCCAAUCACGAGCCGGGAGGCGGGGGCGGGGAGGGGUUUAAAGCCCGGCCUCGCUUCCCUUUUAAGGCAGCUGCGCGAAGGAGUGUGCGUCCCAGCAGCAGGCCGCGCGCCGCACUGGUCUGCCGACGCUAGCGCGCGAGGCAUGCUGGGAGCUGUAGUGUGUGUAGGCGACUCCCUCUGCCCCGAAAACGAGACCCGCACACUCGGUGAAGACUUUCGUGUAUUCAUACAUAUGUAUGCAUAAGAUCUAUGCGAUCUAUGCGAUGGCGCUAAACCUAGAAAAGUAAAGAAACCAAAAGAUUAUGGCCAAACCAGGUCUCUGGAUGUUUUGCAGAGAGAGCAGCUGCGGAGCAGAGAUCUUGGGCUGAAAAUCUGGCUGUGCACACGGGUUGCAACCAGACCGCCUGGACAAAAGAUGAUGAUUGUUGCAGAGGAGAUUCCCCUGUAGAGUUGCCAGAUGUCCCUCAUUUUCAAAGCUAUCCCUCAUUUAAAAGGAUUGACUUUUAUUACAGAGCAUCCUGGCCUCAGUGGGGAGCACGGGAACCCUUGCUUCAUAUUACACAGCUCUGCCAAACAGAAGAACCACCCCUCCCUCUUAGGCUAGAAUAAUAUUUUACUCCCUGUUUGACAUGACAUUCUCCUGACAUAUUUAUGAAAGAAGACUGGAGUGUCAUAGUUUUAAAAUUUAAAAUAUUUAUAUCCUGCCCCUCUGGCACAGUGCUACUUCGGGUGGCUCACAAAAAUAAUAAAUCACAAUAAUAGGCACAAAAAUAAGAGGAUAAAGGACUAAAAGGAGAACAAAACUGGGCUUAAAAACCGGAACCUAAUUAAAACCGAGCAGAUACAGAUUAAAUUUAUUAAUCUGAAUUUAUUAUUUUUAAUAAACAAUACAUUUAUUUAU
Hemicordylus capensis (graceful crag lizard) is the source of this 955-nucleotide long non-coding RNA. RefSeq lists it as uncharacterized. The record is from RefSeq and is a predicted model, not a curated record. The transcript has 2 exons. NCBI's taxonomy places the organism in Eukaryota, Metazoa, Chordata, Lepidosauria, Squamata, Cordylidae.